RNAcentral lists this ribosomal RNA (123 nucleotides) under Solanum tuberosum (potato). The record is from RNAcentral. Lineage: Eukaryota; Viridiplantae; Streptophyta; Magnoliopsida; Solanales; Solanaceae.
AUAUGUGAUUAUAUCAGCACUAACGCAUCGAAUCUCAUCAAACCUCUGAAGUUAAGCAUGCUUGAGCCAGAGUAGUACUGAGAUGGGAGACUCCUUAGGAAUUAAGUUCUCCUGUUACAUCCC